Caenorhabditis elegans is the source of this 65-nucleotide non-coding RNA. NCBI's taxonomy places the organism in Eukaryota, Metazoa, Nematoda, Chromadorea, Rhabditida, Rhabditidae. The record is from Ensembl.
GUAGUUUGUAGUCUUGCAGACCGAAAAUUGGAUACUUUGGUCUGCUAGACUACAAACUACAAAAU